GGCAGAGGUGCCGAGCGUUAGGCGGAAUCACUGGGCUUAAAGCGCGUGUAGGCGGGUCCGUAAGUGCCUUGUGAAAUCCCACGGCUCAACCGUGGAACUGCUGGGCAUACUGCGGGUCUUGGGCCAUCCAGGGGCGAGCGGAACAAGCGGUGGAGCGGUGAAAUGCGUAGAUAUCGCUUGGAACGCCAAGGGUGAAAACAGCUCGCUGGGGAUGCGCCGACGCUGAGACGCGAAAGCCAGGGGAGCGAACGGG
This 253-nucleotide ribosomal RNA is filed under the name uncultured bacterium. RNAcentral's name for it is "partial 16S ribosomal RNA". It matches the Rfam family "Bacterial small subunit ribosomal RNA", at positions 524 to 776 of the family's 1533-position model. The record is from RNAcentral.